CACGCCGUAAACGAUGGUCACUAGCUGUUUGGACUUCGGUCUGAGUGGCUAAGCGAAAGUGAUAAGUGACCCACCUGGGGAGUACGUUCGCAAGAAUGAAACUCAAAGGAAUUGACGGGGGCCCGCACAAGCGGUGGAGCAUGUGGUUUAAUUCGAUGAUACGCGAGGAACCUUACCAGGGCUUAAAUGUUAGGUGACAGAUCUAGAAAUAGAUUUUUCUUCGGACACUUAACAAGGUGC
Molecule: ribosomal RNA, 240 nt
Filed under: uncultured bacterium
Lineage: Bacteria
Description: partial 16S ribosomal RNA
Rfam family: Bacterial small subunit ribosomal RNA
Source: RNAcentral